UACGUAGGGACCAAGCGUUGUUCGGAAUUACUGGGCGUAAAGGGCGCGUAGGCGGCCGCCUAAGUCAGACGUGAAAUCCCUCGGCUCAACCGGGGAACUGCGUCUGAUACUGGGUGGCUUGAAUCCGGGAGAGGAAUGCGGAAUUCCAGGUGUAGCGGUGAAAUGCGUAGAUAUCUGGAGGAACACCGGUGGCGAAGGCGGCAUUCUGGACCGGCAUUGACGCUGAGGCGCGAAAGCCAGGGGAGCAAACGGG
Molecule: ribosomal RNA, 253 nt
Filed under: uncultured bacterium
Lineage: Bacteria
Description: partial 16S ribosomal RNA
Rfam family: Bacterial small subunit ribosomal RNA
Source: RNAcentral